AGAGUUUGAUCCUGGCUCAGAAUCAACGCUGGCGGCGCGCCUAACACAUGCAAGUCGAACGAGAAAGCCGGGGCAACCUGGUGAGUAAAGUGGCGUACGGGUGAGUAACACGUGGAUGAUCUACCUCCUUGUGGGGAAUAACCCUGGGAAACCGGGGCUAAUACCGCAUAAGUCCGAGAGGAGAAAGCAGCAAUGCGCUGGGAGAGGAGUCCGCGGCCGAUUAGCUAGUUGGCAGGGUAAAAGCCUACCAAGGCAAAGAUCGGUAGCCGGCCUGAGAGGGCACACGGCCACACUGGCACUGAAACACGGGCCAGACUCCUACGGGAGGCAGCAGUGGGGAAUCUUGCACAAUGGGGGAAACCCUGAUGCAGCGACGCCGCGUGAGCGAUGAAGCCCUUCGGGGUGUAAAGCUCUUUCGGCAGGGAAGAUGAUGACGGUACCUGCAGAAGCAGCUGCGGCUAACUACGUGCCAGCAGCCGCGGUAAUACGUAGGCAGCAAGCGUUGUUCGGAGUUACUGGGCGUAAAGGGUGUGUAGGCGGUUGCUUAAGUUUGGUGUGAAAUCUCCCGGCUCAACUGGGAGGGUGCGCCGAAUACUGAGUGACUCGAGUGCGGGAGAGGAAAGUGGAAUUCCUGGUGUAGCGGUGAAAUGCGUAGAUAUCAGGAGGAACACCGGUGGUGUAGACGGCUUUCUGGACCGUAACUGACGCUGAGACACGAAAGCGUGGGUAGCAAACAGGAUUAGAUACCCUGGUAGUCCACGCCCUAAACGAUGCACAUUUGGUGUGGGUCAUUCAGUUGAUCCGUGCCGGAGCUAACGCGUUAAAUGUGCCGCCUGGGGAGUACAGUCGCAAGGCUGAAACUCAAAGGAAUUGACGGGGGCCCGCACAAGCGGUGGAGCACGUGGUUCAAUUCGACGCAACGCGAAGAACCUUACCUGGCUCGAACGGCUGGCUAACGGCGGUGGAAACAUCGCUACCCCGCAAGGGGGUCCAGUCGAGGUGCUGCAUGGCUG
Molecule: ribosomal RNA, 1013 nt
Filed under: uncultured bacterium
Lineage: Bacteria
Description: bacterial SSU rRNA
Rfam family: Bacterial small subunit ribosomal RNA
Source: RNAcentral